This 497-nucleotide ribosomal RNA is filed under the name uncultured bacterium. RNAcentral describes it as "partial 16S ribosomal RNA". It matches the Rfam family "Bacterial small subunit ribosomal RNA", at positions 28 to 507 of the family's 1533-position model. The record is from RNAcentral.
GAUGAACGCUGGCGGCGUGCCUAAUACAUGCAAGUCGAGCGAACAGACGAUGAGCUUUCUCCUCUGACGUUAGCGGCGGACGGGCGAGUAACACGUGGAUAACCUACCUAUAAGUCUGGGAUAACUUCGGGAAACCGGUGCUAAUACCGGAUCAUAUAUUGAACCGCAUGGUUCAAUAGUGAAAGACGGUUUUGCUGUCACUUAUAGAUGGAUCCGCGCCGGAUUAGCUAGUUGGUAAGGUAACGGCUUACCAAGGCAACGAUGCGUAGCCGACCUGAGAGGGUGAUCAGCCACACUGGAACUGAGACACGGUCCAGACUCCUACGGGAGGCAGCAGUAGGGAAUCUUGCACAAUGGGCGAAAGCCUGACGGAGCAACGCCGCGUGAGUGAUGAAGGUCUUCGGAUCGUAAAACUCUGUUAUUAGGGAAGAACAAAUGUGUAAGUAACUAUGCACGUCUUGACGGUACCUAAUCAGAAAGCCACGGCUAACUACGUG